Molecule: ribosomal RNA, 465 nt
Filed under: uncultured bacterium
Lineage: Bacteria
Description: partial 16S ribosomal RNA
Rfam family: Bacterial small subunit ribosomal RNA
Source: RNAcentral
CUACGGGACGCAGCAGUGAGGAAUUUUGCGCAAUGGGGGCAACCCUGACGCAGCAACGCCGCGUGAGUGAAGAAGGCCCUUGGGUCGUAAAGCUCUGUCAAUGGGGAAGAAGUUACUUGGUAUUAAUAGUGCCUUGUAUUGACGGUACCCAUGAAGGAAGCACCGGCUAACUCCGUGCCAGCAGCCGCGGUAAUACGGGGGGUGCAAGCGUUAUUCGGAAUUAUUGGGCGUAAAGGGCACGCAGGCGGUCCUGUCAGUCAGAUGUGAAAGCCCAGGGCUCAACCCUGGACGUGCAUUUGAAACAGCAGGACUUGAGUACGGGAGAGGAAAGGGGAAUUCCUGGUGUAGAGGUGAAAUUCGUAGAUAUCAGGAGGAACACCGGUGGCGAAGGCGCCUUUCUGGACCGAUACUGACGCUGAGGUGCGAAGGCGUGGGUAGCGAACGGGAUUAGAUACCCUAGUAGUC